UGCACUCCUUCACCUCACAAAGCCAGAAAUAAUGCUGGUAAAGAGAUAAGGUUGUGCAUGAGGCUAGCAACCCCAUCCUGUAAAAUAAACACUGCUACCGAAACUUCAAGCCACUAGUUUGAAGCCCUAUGUUCCACUGGGGAACGUGAAGGAAAAAAAAAUAGGCAACGUGACCUGGAUUUAGACUGUCGUAAGACAGAUUUGUUCCUCCCUACUAUUGUGUACAUUAAUCAGUGUUAUAUAAUCUGACCGUUGCUAUGGUAAUCCUAUUUAGUACAAGUGGAGCCGCAUGUUCAGACAACUGGUCGAAAAGCCAAUGGUGCUAAACUACCAUCUAAGGGAUUGAGAUUGAACGCCUCUAAGUCUCAAUCCCAUCCAUAUUUGCGAUGGUAAAUUCGGUAUUCGAUACGUGGCUUGGCAAGCUUACGUAUUCCUUUUGGUGUCUGGACUUGACCAGGUGUUUGGUUUAGCAUAUGAAGUGUGGUGUUACGCCAGAGCAAUGACCAUAAACAAUGCUCUAGACUUCAAAUGUAGACGUUGACGCGACAUAUACUUGUGGUAUGAGCUUAAGAAUACUAGAUUCUUUGUGGACAAACUGAAUUUUUGUCGGGAAGACGUAACUGCUCGAACAUCUAUCACACUGUGUGGGAUUGAGUCCUAACCGUGCUUUUACUAUUAUU
RNAcentral lists this non-coding RNA (680 nucleotides) under Trichobilharzia regenti. Its description in RNAcentral is "Eukaryotic large subunit ribosomal RNA". It matches the Rfam family "Eukaryotic large subunit ribosomal RNA", at positions 2924 to 3401 of the family's 3401-position model. Lineage: Eukaryota; Metazoa; Platyhelminthes; Trematoda; Strigeidida; Schistosomatidae. The record is from Rfam by way of RNAcentral.